Molecule: RNA transcript, 1081 nt
Organism: Odobenus rosmarus divergens (Pacific walrus)
Lineage: Eukaryota; Metazoa; Chordata; Mammalia; Carnivora; Odobenidae
Gene name: 60S ribosomal protein L7-like
Exons: 1
Source: RefSeq, a predicted model, not a curated record
AUGGAGGGUGCAGAAGAGAAGAAAAAGAAGGUUCCUGCUGUGCCAGAAACCCUUAAGAAGAAGUGAAGGAAUUUCACAGAGUUGAAGAUCAAGCAUCUGAGGAAGAAGUUUGCUCAGAAGAUGCUUCGAAAGGCAAGAAGGAAGCUUAUCUAUGAAAAAGUUAAGCAUUACCACAAGGAAUAUAGGCAGAUGUACAGAACUGAGAUUCGAAUGGCAAGGAUGGCAAGAAAAGCUGGCAACUUCUACAUACCUGCGGAACCCAAACUGGCAUUUGUCAUCAGGAUCAGAGGUAUCAAUGGUGUGAGCCCAAAGGUUUGAAAGGUGUUGCAGCUUCUUCGCCUUCGCCAGAUCUUCAAUUGCACCUUUGUUAAGCUCAACAAGGCUUCAGUUAACAUGCUAAGGAUUGUAGAACCUUAUAUAGCAUGGGGGUACCCAAACCUGAAGUCAGUAAAUGAAUUGAUCUACAAGCGUGGUUAUGGCAAAAUCAACAAGAAGCGAAUUGCCCUGACAGAUAACACGUUGAUUGCCCAAUCUCUUGGUAAAUAUGGCAUCAUCUGCAUGGAGGAUCUGACUCAUGAGAUCUAUACUGUUGGAAAACGUUUCAAAGAAGCAAACAACUUUUUAUGGCCCUUCAAAUUAUCUUCUCCACGAGGGGGAAUGAAGAAAAAGACCACCCAUUUUGUAGGAGGUGGAGAUGCUGGUAACAGGGAAGACCAGAUCAAUAGGCUUAUUAGAAGGAUGAACUAAGGUAUCUGCCAUGAUUAUUUUUGUAAUCUGGUCAGUUAAUAAAUGACUACUCUCAAAUGGAAAUGUUUUGUUGUCUUGGUGACUUUUUGCUAGCCUGACUCUGCUGUCCCUUAACUAUUAAAGCAAAUCUUGGUGUGUGAUAAAAGUCAUCAACCUUUGCGUGCAAAACUAGGGUCUAGUUUGUAUCUUGGUGGAAAACAUUCCUUGGGUUUAUUGAAGACUCUUCUGUACAAAGAAUAUAUCUUAAUUUUUCACUUUUGAAUUGGGCCACUGAGUUAGUCAAGAUAGGUCUGUUCUAAGAAAACCUAUUUCAUAGGCCUUUGUGCAUGAUUUA